This 253-nucleotide ribosomal RNA is filed under the name uncultured bacterium. Its description in RNAcentral is "partial 16S ribosomal RNA". It matches the Rfam family "Bacterial small subunit ribosomal RNA", at positions 524 to 776 of the family's 1533-position model. The record is from RNAcentral.
AACGUAGGAGACAAACGUUAUCCGGAGUUACUGGGCGUAAAGGGCGUGCAGGUGGUCUGUUAAGUCUGGCGUGAAAGCUCCUGGCUAAACCGGGAGAGGUCGUUGGAUACUGGCGGACUAGAGGACGGUAGAGGCGUGUGGAAUUCCGGGUGUAGUGGUGAAACGCGUAGAGAUCCGGAGGAACACCAGUGGCGAAGGCGACACGCUGGGCCGUACCUGACACUGAUACGCGACAGCAUGGGGAGCGAACGGG